This 253-nucleotide ribosomal RNA is filed under the name uncultured bacterium. RNAcentral's name for it is "partial 16S ribosomal RNA". It matches the Rfam family "Bacterial small subunit ribosomal RNA", at positions 524 to 776 of the family's 1533-position model. The record is from RNAcentral.
UACGUAGGGACCAAGCGUUGUUCGGAUUUACUGGGCGUAAAGGGCGCGUAGGCGGCGAAUCAAGUCAGCUGUGAAAUCUCCGAGCUUAACUCGGAACGGUCAGCUGAUACUGUUUUGCUAGAGUGCAGAAAGGGCAACCGGAAUUCUUGGUGUAGCGGUGAAAUGCGCAGAUAUCAGGAGGAACACCGAUGGCGAAGGCAGGUCUCUGGGCCAUAACUGACGCUGAGAAGCGAAAGCAUGGGGAGCGAACAGG